ACAAGUACCGUGAGGGAAAGUUGCAAAGCACUUUGAAGAGAGAGUUAAAGAGGACGUGAAACCGGUGGGGUGGAAACGGAUAGAGCUAGCGUAUCUGGCAUGCAUUCAACUGCUAUACAGUCGCGGCUUGAACUUUGAUCUCCAGAUUGGGCACUGUUCGAGUCAUUGGCUGUUGUGUGGUGCAUUUGCAUGUGGAGUGCGCAGAGGCGUCAGGGAUUGAGGUGUGAUCUCGGUUUUGAGGCCAGCUUGCUGGUACCCAAACUGGGGGAGCACCUUUUGUUCCGGACGUUUUGUUGCAAGGCUUACAAGCUCUAUUGGGGCUCGAACUGGCGGUCGGUAACGGUCGCAUGCGACACGUGCCGUGCAACCAGUUCGGUCCUGGUCGAGCUCACGUGCAGUCUCUCUGCGUAAAAGCUGGUCACCUAUUCGACCCGUCUUGAAACACGGACCAAGGAGUUUAUCGUGUGCGCGAGUCAUUGGGCUUUGAAAACCCCCAAAGACGAAAUGAAAGUAAAUGUCCUCGCAAGAGGCUGACGUGUGAUUCUACGCUUUUCGAAGCGGGGACGCAACAUGGCCCCAUUCUGACUGCUUGCAGUGGGGUGGAGGAAGAGCGCAUGCGGUGAGACCCGAAAGAUGGUGAACUAUUCCUGAGCAGGAUGAAGCCAGAGGAAACUCUGGUGGAAGUCCGAAGCGGUUCUGACGUGCAAAUCGAUCGUCUGACUUGGGUAUAGGGGCGAAAGACUAAUCGAACCAUCUAGUAGCUGGUUCCUUCCGA
This 775-nucleotide ribosomal RNA is filed under the name Meloidogyne vitis. RNAcentral's name for it is "Meloidogyne sp. 1 YMY-2019 partial large subunit ribosomal RNA". It matches the Rfam family "Eukaryotic large subunit ribosomal RNA", at positions 344 to 964 of the family's 3401-position model. The record is from RNAcentral. Lineage: Eukaryota; Metazoa; Nematoda; Chromadorea; Rhabditida; Meloidogynidae.